UACGUAGGGGGCUAGCGUUGCUCGGAAUCACUGGGCGUAAAGGGUGCGUAGGCGGGUCUUUAAGUCAGGGGUGAAAUCCUGGAGCUCAACUCCAGAACUGCCUUUGAUACUGAAGAUCUUGAGUUCGGGGGAGGUGAGUGGAACUGCGAGUGUAGAGGUGAAAUUCGUAGAUAUUCGCAAGAACACCAGUGGCGAAGGCGGCUCGCUGGCCCGGUACUGACGCUGAUGUGCGAAAGCGUGGGGAGCAAACAGG
This 253-nucleotide ribosomal RNA is filed under the name uncultured bacterium. RNAcentral describes it as "partial 16S ribosomal RNA". It matches the Rfam family "Bacterial small subunit ribosomal RNA", at positions 524 to 776 of the family's 1533-position model. The record is from RNAcentral.